Molecule: small nucleolar RNA, 145 nt
Organism: Impatiens glandulifera
Lineage: Eukaryota; Viridiplantae; Streptophyta; Magnoliopsida; Ericales; Balsaminaceae
Product: small nucleolar RNA snoR137
Exons: 1
Source: RefSeq, a predicted model, not a curated record
GUUGCUUCUACUGGUGAACUCUAUCUAUGUCAAUGAUGAUGUUCGUGUUUCCGAAGCAUAGAUUCAUUCUUAAAUGUUGCCAGUUUUAAACAGAUCGUUGUAUUUAAUCUCAUUGCAUCGUCUCUACCUGUCUAUUGGCAUAUCU